Molecule: ribosomal RNA, 73 nt
Filed under: Plagiomnium acutum
Lineage: Eukaryota; Viridiplantae; Streptophyta; Bryopsida; Bryales; Mniaceae
Description: partial 5.8S ribosomal RNA
Source: RNAcentral
CGCGAAUCAUCGAGUUUUUGAACGCAAGUUGCGCCCGAGGCUUGUCCAAGGGCAUUUCCGCUAGAGCGUCACC